RNAcentral lists this ribosomal RNA (136 nucleotides) under uncultured eukaryote. RNAcentral describes it as "partial 18S ribosomal RNA". It matches the Rfam family "Eukaryotic small subunit ribosomal RNA", at positions 1299 to 1458 of the family's 1831-position model. The record is from RNAcentral.
UGGUGGAUUGAUUUGUCUGGUUUAUUCCGAUAACGAACGAGACUCCAACCUACUAAAUAGUGCAGAGAUUUUUAGUCUUUGUUCACUUCUUAGAGGGACAAGCUGUGUUUAGUCAGCAUGAGAAGGAGCAAUAACA